RNAcentral lists this ribosomal RNA (468 nucleotides) under uncultured bacterium. Its description in RNAcentral is "partial 16S ribosomal RNA". It matches the Rfam family "Bacterial small subunit ribosomal RNA", at positions 28 to 507 of the family's 1533-position model. The record is from RNAcentral.
GACGAACGCUGGCGGCGUGCUUAACACAUGCAAGUCGAACGGAAAGGCCCUGCUUUUGUGGGGUGCUCGAGUGGCGAACGGGUGAGUAACACGUGAGUAACCUGCCCUUGACUUUGGGAUAACUUCAGGAAACUGGGGCUAAUACCGGAUAGGAGCUCCUGCUGCAUGGUGGGGGUUGGAAAGUUUCGGCGGUUGGGGAUGGACUCGCGGCUUAUGAGCUUGUUGGUGGGGUAGUGGCUUACCAAGGCUUUGACGGGUAGCCGGCCUGAGAGGGUGACCGGGGACAAUAGGACUAAGGGAGGGACCAGACUCCUACGGGAGGCAGCAGUGGGGAGUAUGGCAUAGUGAGCGCGAGCCUGAUGCAGAGACGCCGCGUGCGGGAAGACGGCCUUCGGGUUAUAAACCGCUGUCGCCUGUGACGAAGCGGGAGUGACGGUAAUGGGUAAAGAAGCACCGGCUAACUACGUG